GGGGAUGACAUGAAUCUGGCUGCAGUACCAGUCACCACAUUGAUGACCUGAAUUGAUUCUGCUGACCUGGCAGACUGGACUGGUGUUUCCUUAUUUUCUCAUGUGCAGUUUUCCUAAAGUUGUAUAUUCAGGAAGAAAAACUUAAUUUCCUGGACUAUUGUGGACAUGUGAUUCAG
RNAcentral lists this small nuclear RNA (176 nucleotides) under Papio anubis (olive baboon). RNAcentral's name for it is "7SK RNA". It matches the Rfam family "7SK RNA", at positions 1 to 188 of the family's 331-position model. From Rfam's summary of the family: 7SK was discovered as an abundant small nuclear RNA in the mid-70s but a possible function has only recently been suggested. The record is from Rfam by way of RNAcentral. RNAcentral also lists the same sequence under 1 other name. Lineage: Eukaryota; Metazoa; Chordata; Mammalia; Primates; Cercopithecidae.